UCGGUCACCCUCACUUUACCAAACCCCCGAGGAUCCACCUCGGCGGAGCCCUUCACCCUCGCUCCCGACGGCAGCGAUCGGAGUUCGGUCUACGUUGCCUUCUCCCUGCGUCGAUUUGAAAUCCUCGCCUAGCUACUUCUUUUGUAUUGCUGUUCUCGGGCGAGGGAGAUGGGGUUCCGGAGUUUAGUACGGGAGACUGAUUGCUUUUGAGAGGUUGGGUCUUCUGCAGGCCACAAAGACAAGCCGGACGUUCUUGUAGACGAUUAUGAUGGCUCCGCGUGCAAUUCACGCCAAAUUAAUGAUGCAGAAGGUUGAGAUGGAGUUACUAGAAUGUCUUCCUUUCUGUAUGGCCCCUGCAUGUGAGCAUAAGAUUGAUAGUUUAUUUACGCCUUGUUAUGAUGAAUCCUGAUAGCCUCAGAUCAUUAGCUGCUACAUGGUUUCAGAAGAUCACCAUCACAGCUUACUGGAUGAUAUGUGGUAUUCUUUUCUCAUCAAAAUUAUUGUUGUCGGGGAAGAUGCGGAAAGACUAUUAGUUCUCUGUCCUUAGUAGAUCAUUUGACUAGCACUUGUUUGCGUUGCUGCCUACUCUAUGCUCUUCCAGCGGCAGCACUCGUUUCUUUGAGGUCAUCCCACUUUGAAUCCAGCAGAGCUGUCUGUAUUCCCCGUCUCAGCCUACAGUUGUUUUCUUACUCAAUGACGCGGGAGACGGCAAUAUAGAUUCACACUCAUCAUCUUUGUCCUCUCGUGCUGGUCCAAGUUCCAACCAAUCAUAGGUCUUAUAUGCCUGCACCCGAAGACAUUCAAGAUCUCCACAGUUUCCAGAUGGAAACAUGACAUGGAGGACAGACAUCUUAUUCGCUUAAAGGGGAAAGAAUUAUAGAAUUUCCUACAAAGGAUCAGACUAAUUUGCUCUCCCACUAUGAUGCACAGCCUCAUCUUGAUCUGAUCUCAUGUGGACUUCAACAAACAACGAGAGAUGUCUGGCAAAGAGAAAGUGAUGGACACAAGGAAGAAGAAGUAAUGGCUCAGAUGAACAUUGCAUGCACUUCCGUCUUAGGAUAUAAACACACUUCAAUGAGAACCUGCUCUUAGUCUACCAUUCCUAGGGACCAUCAAGACCUUCGUGGUGGCCACCAUGGCUUCCAACUCCCAGCCCGACCUGUGACACCAACCUCCAAAGCCUCUCCAUUGAUGUCUUUGUCCUGAUGCUGCGGGCAUGGUGGGUUUAAUAAAGAGGUAGCAAAGGCACGAGGAUUGGAGGUCAUUCUCUGUGCUUAUCUACGGCUCUGUGCGCUCCAUGAGAGAGAGAGAGAGAAGCAUUGUUGGCCUGCACGCAAAAGGUUGGCUGCUUUUGAGACAGCUGCCAUAAAGACGUGCCUGCAAUGGGAUGGAGACUGAGAGGAUGAGGAAAAGAGAGCAGAGCCUUGAAUGGUGGAGUUGUUAUCCAUGGGGAUCAGGGAACCAUGGGGGGUGCUGUGGUUUGGGUUCAACAGGGGCUACUGGGCCAUGGAGAUGUGUACAAAUAGGAAAGUGAAGGGGAACACCACCAAGGUAGAAUGUGGGACUCAGCGCACAUGCCUUGUCAACCGCACAUUGGACAAAGGCCUAACUCAAUUCAGUGAUGAUAGAAGAAGGAUAAUAUUUAUAUGUCAGAUUGGAAAUGAUAGAAUAGAAGGAGAAAAAUGAAUGACUUGGAGAUAGUAAAUUCCAAGUUAUUUUUACUGGAUAGUAAUAUUUGUUCGCAUAUCCGUGCAUGGAUCGAUGUCAAUUUGAAAAGAACAAGAGAACAAUAUCAGUCGAGGACGUGAUGUAUAUAUGUAUGAGAAAAAGAUCUGAUGCUUCUUAUGAAUCAUGAAACAGAUAUGAGUUCAAGCGUGCAUACAAGACGUGGAGCACAAAAUAGUAUAUGUAGAAAUGAUGCUUUCCCUUCUUUGAUUAAUGACAGUGACGUGGGGAAGCCAAGACUUGUUUUUCUGAGACCACCUUGUCCUCUGCAGUAGACACAAGUUAUACUGUGAUGUGUACUCGUUGUCAGCAUACAGUAACGCUCGAUCCUCAGCCCCCCUCAGCGCUGUGCAUUGUACCUUCGCUAAGCAUCAGUGGAGACACUGUUGAUUCACGUGCACUCUCUCUCUCUCUCUC
Molecule: non-coding RNA, 2142 nt
Organism: Musa acuminata subsp. malaccensis (wild Malaysian banana)
Lineage: Eukaryota; Viridiplantae; Streptophyta; Magnoliopsida; Zingiberales; Musaceae
Source: RefSeq, a predicted model, not a curated record